CAUGCCUAUAUGGCACCGUAAAGGUGUGCUAUUCUCCCUUGGGUAGGGCAACGAGCAUGAUCCGGCGUGUAUUGCCUCGUUGUGCUUUGCUUCGCUCGGUACGCCGGCUUUUUCUUCAGUUUCGGUGUAGGCGUGGGCGGGAUAUUUUGUGCGGUGUGGCUCGGGGCCUCGUGGGGUAAGAGGUGCACCGGUAGGCGCCAUUCGGCCUGGGGCUCGCACACUGUGUUGUGUGUCCACUGUCCUCGGCCGGGUGAGGGAGGAGAGGCACGGUUCUUUGGGUGUGGGUGUGGGCAGGAGGAGAGGUUUUAGGGGGUUGGUGGUCGGAGGAGGAGGAGGAGGGUCUAGGCGGAGUGGCGGGGCGGGGGUCUAGGGGGUGCGUCCGCUCGCUUGCGCGCGCGUCCGGGUCUAGGCGGCGGGGCGGCCUCGUCGGUACCGGUUCCUCCGGCCGCCGCUCCCCCGGUACAGCCUCAGCCACGAGGCGUUCCACGAGCAGAGGAUGACGAUGCAGCGCCACACCUAGAAGGAGAGGAAGUGGCAGUAGCAGAUGUUGUUCAUGUAGGAGCUGGGGUUCUACAUGUUGACCGGGAAGGGGUAGAGCGAGUGGUACCACGUGUACCGGAAGACGAGGAGCGAGCGGCAGCGCGAGCAGGCGCAGAAGGCCCAGCAGCUGGAGGGGAGGAGCGGGCGGUACUGGUGUGUCGAGAUGUGGUCGAGGCAGGAGGGGUAGCCGCGCGAGAUGAGCGAGAGGGAGACCAAGAGGUUGAGGCGGAUGUAGAUGGAGAGGCAGAGGAAGUAGGUCUACGAGUUCCGCGAGUACGGGCAGCGGCAGAUGAGGUAUCCCCACGAGAAGUUCUUCCUCUGGAAGGCGAGGAGACGGUACGAGUUGUACGAGAGGUAGAGGAAGCCGCAGCGGUAGCGGCGGAUGCCGCUCCGGGCGAAGCUGGAGGCGCCGCAGCGCGAGGUCGAGCGGCGGCAGCGGAAGCUCCGGUGGUCCGAGCAGGAGUAGGUCUAGGAGGAGUGGAGGUUCCCCUAGAGCGAGUUGGGGUAGUGGAGCGAGAUGAUGCAGCGCGGGACGACGGAGCCGAAGGAGAAGGACGGGACCCAGAAGCAGCUCGACGGGUCCGACGCGCGGCACCCGUACAAGCUCGGACUGAAGAAGCAGAAGCCGUGGUUGAGGGAGACGCGUAAGCGCGAGUUGGACCGGCAGAAGGACGAGCACCCGUUCUGCAGCCGCGAGUGGUACUUGCAGCGGCCGCAACAGUUCCUGACCGACGAGUAGCGGAAGAGGACCAGGCACUAGGCCCUGUGCCACUGGGGCUAGUUGGAGAAGCCGAUGCCCUAGCGGAAGGACCCGCACCCGAUGAUGUUGGUGCACUUCGACGUCCGCGAGUUCCGGUUCCUCCGCGUCUUCUUCCACCGCGUCCGCCUGCUCCUUCGGCCGAGCGACGACGUCCUCGCGCUGAGAGUGCCGCUCGCGUUCUGGCUCUGGGUCAGUAUCUCGACGAGUAGACUAGGCUAGGCUAGGUUGUUGUGGUUGUCGUGCGGGUUAAACCAACCAAGAGAGUCAGGCCGCAUCGUCCAAGGGGUUUUACACUAGGAAUGUACAAACUACUACGCUUUAGACAAGUAAAGAACGGAAUUAAACACCAUCCUUCCGUUUAUUUAUGUCCUUUGUACUGUAAAAACACGGCCCGCACACUUUUAUGCUAUCAAGAAUCGUCUGUCACGAUGAUGGUCAUAGUUUUUUUAACAUAAGCCAACAGAUAACAUAGUAGUAGUAGAAACAUAAUCAUGGUUCGUAACGUAGCUCAUUUAACCACGGCAUCUCUACACCGCUAGCUCGUUGUCGAUCAUUAUUUUCUAAGUCAAGUUAAAAGCUUU
RNAcentral lists this ribosomal RNA (1881 nucleotides) under Triticum aestivum (bread wheat). RNAcentral describes it as "partial small subunit ribosomal RNA". Lineage: Eukaryota; Viridiplantae; Streptophyta; Magnoliopsida; Poales; Poaceae. The record is from RNAcentral.